Molecule: long non-coding RNA, 1071 nt
Organism: Brassica napus (rape)
Lineage: Eukaryota; Viridiplantae; Streptophyta; Magnoliopsida; Brassicales; Brassicaceae
Exons: 2
Source: RefSeq, a predicted model, not a curated record
GCUCUGACUGGUGACCUUUUCGGGAACACGAGGAACAAAUAGGAAAGGAACGUAUAGGAAUAAAAUUGCAGGAAUUGGAAGGAAUGCUUGUUCCUUGUCAAAUUAGAAGAAACUGAAUGGAGCAUGUGAAUAAACAAGGGAGAAAAGUUGGUACAGUCGAUGAACUAAUCCAGGUGAUCACUCCCAAAGGCAGAGGUAAACAUAGAUAAACAAAAACUUUUAAGAUGAAAUCGGAAAUGAGAAACCUGUUUUCCAAAUACUUUGAAAUAUCUUAAUUCUGUUUUUCAGUUUGAGGUAUUGGACUUGGGUUAUUAUAAAAUGAAAAGUGGGAAAGAAGAGAGUAUGCAUACAUAUCCUUUGAGAUCUCUUGCUUCAUCUCUGGAAAGGGGUCAGUGCGUAUGAGUUAACCAAGAGUUCAAUUCAGCGAUAUUUUUACAGAUUUGUAUUGAGUUUUCUCAUUGAUGAUUUCUGAGUUGUCUAUAUAACUUCGUCAUUGCUCUCUCAUGUUUAAGAUGAUUCACCAUGUUCCAGUUGGUUCAAAACUUUUAUGUAUGUAAUGUCUGUUGCAGGUGAAAUCUCCUUGCUCUUUCACUCAAAGAGAGAUGGGAUAUCUCACGGACACCAUCCAGAAUGGUGGAACUGAAGUAAUGAGUAUUGAUCUGAUGUUUCAUUUGAUGAAGGACACGUAAUGAGUUUAUAUAAUCAUUGUUCUUCACUCCAUAUAAAUUUAACUGCAUAUUAACUGAUGCUGCAGUAACAAAGGAGAAUUUACGAACCGUAACAAACCAAUCACUCAACUGCAUAAGAAGCGAUGCUGCAGUAAUGCUACGGUUACGACUGUUGGAAACGCCCUUAGAUAUGAUCAUAUGAUAGAUCCAGCACAGUGACAUGACUGACAGUAGAAACCAAAAUCAGAGUUACGCUAAAGCAAAAGGAACAAGGAAGCAUAAAGUAAAAACAAAGUUGUGAUUGCCCUCAUUUCCUUGCCUCUUCUGUGAAAACUUAGAAAUACUUUUGCUUUGUGUUUGGUAGUGUCUGUAAAUCCACAUCUAUAUGUAAUUAUAGGAGGAA